AACGGCGAGUGAAGCGGCAACAGCUCAAAUUUUAAAGCUGGCGUCCUCGACGCCCGCGUUGUAAUUUGGAGAGGCAUCUUCGGUUUGGGCGCCAGCCUAUGUUCCUUGGAACAGGACGUCACAGAGGGUGAGAAUCCCGUGCUUGGCUGGCUGUCCCUCUCCAUGUGAAGUGUCUUCGACGAGUCGAGUUGUUUGGGAAUGCAGCUCAAAAUGGGUGGUAAAUUUCAUCUAAAGCUAAAUAUUGGCGGGAGACCGAUAGCGCACAAGUAGAGUGAUCGAAAGAUGAAAAGCACUUUGAAAAUAGAGUUAAAAAGUACGUGAAAUUGUUGAAAGGGAAGCGCUUGAGACCAGACUCGGCCGGAGACGAUCAGCGGUCCUUUUGGGCCGUGCACUCGUCCUCGGUCGGGCCAGCAUCGGUUGAGACGGCGGGAUAAAGGUCCGGGGAAUGUGGCUCCUUUCGGGGAGUGUUAUAGCCCCGGGCGCAAUGCCGCCAGCCUCGACCGAGGACCGCGCUUUUUUGCUAGGAUGCUGGCGUAAUGGUCUUCAGCGACCCGUCUUGAAACACGGACCAAGGAGUCUAACAUCUAUGCGAGUGUUUGGGUGUCAAACCCUUGCGCGUAAUGAAAGUGAACGUGGGUGGGAACCCCUCGUCAGGGGGGCGCACCAUCGACCGAUCCUGAUGUCUUCGGAUGGAUUUGAGUAGGAGCAUAGCUGUUGGGACCCGAAAGAUGGUGAACUAUGCCUGAAUAGGGUGAAGCCAGAGGAAACUCUGGUGGAGGCUCGCAGCGGUUCUGACGUGCAAAUCGAUCGUCAAAUUUGGGUAUAGGGGCGAAAGACUAAUCGAACCAUCUAGUA
RNAcentral lists this ribosomal RNA (855 nucleotides) under Maublancomyces ticinianus. Its description in RNAcentral is "LSU rRNA". It matches the Rfam family "Eukaryotic large subunit ribosomal RNA", at positions 85 to 949 of the family's 3401-position model. Lineage: Eukaryota; Fungi; Ascomycota; Pezizomycetes; Pezizales; Discinaceae. The record is from RNAcentral.